Molecule: ribosomal RNA, 500 nt
Filed under: uncultured bacterium
Lineage: Bacteria
Description: partial 16S ribosomal RNA
Rfam family: Bacterial small subunit ribosomal RNA
Source: RNAcentral
AUUGAACGCUGGCGGCAUGCCUUACACAUGCAAGUCGAACGGUAACGGGUCCUUCGGGAUGCCGACGAGUGGCGAACGGGUGAGUAAUAUAUCGGAACGUGCCCAGUAGUGGGGGAUAACUGCUCGAAAGAGCAGCUAAUACCGCAUACGACCUGAGGGUGAAAGGGGGGGAUCGCAAGACCUCUCGCUAUUGGAGCGGCCGAUAUCAGAUUAGCUAGUUGGUGGGGUAAAGGCCUACCAAGGCAACGAUCUGUAGUUGGUCUGAGAGGACGACCAGCCACACUGGGACUGAGACACGGCCCAGAAUCCUACGGGUGGCAGCAGUGGGGAAUUUUGGACAAUGGGCGCAAGCCUGAUCCAGCAAUGCCGCGUGCAGGAAGAAGGCCUUCGGGUUGUAAACUGCUUUUGUCAGGGAAGAAAUCUUCUGGGCUAAUACCCCGGGAGGAUGACGGUACCUGAAGAAUAAGCACCGGCUAACUACGUGCCAGCCGCCGCAGUAA